CGGUGACAUAGCCCAGGCCGGCGUCGCGCUGCUGCUGCCAGUGCGCGGCGCGCAGCUCGGCGCCCGUGGCUUCGAGCACGGCGGCGUCGA
This 90-nucleotide transfer RNA is filed under the name Paracidovorax wautersii. RNAcentral's name for it is "Acidovorax wautersii (egg metagenome) tRNA-Ser". The record is from RNAcentral. Lineage: Bacteria; Pseudomonadati; Pseudomonadota; Betaproteobacteria; Burkholderiales; Comamonadaceae.